UGCAGUCGACGGUAGCACAGAGAGCUUGCUCUCGGGAUGACGAGUGGCGGACGGGUGAGUAAUGUCUGGGAAACUGCCUGAUGGAGGGGGAUAACUACUGGAAACGGUAGCUAAUACCGCAUAACGUCGCAAGACCAAAGAGGGGGACCUUCGGGCCUCUUGCCAUCAGAUGUGCCCAGAUGGGAUUAGCUAGUAGGUGGGGUAACGGCUCACCUAGGCGACGAUCCCUAGCUGGUCUGAGAGGAUGACCAGCCACACUGGAACUGAGACACGGUCCAGACUCCUACGGGAGGCAGCAGUGGGGAAUAUUGCACAAUGGGCGCAAGCCUGAUGCAGCCAUGCCGCGUGUAUGAAGAAGGCCUUCGGGUUGUAAAGUACUUUCAGCGGGGAGGAAGGUGUUAAGGUUAAUAACCUUAUUCAUUGACGUUACCCGCAGAAGAAGCACCGGCUAACUCCGUGCCAGCAGCCGCGGUAAUACGGAGGGUGCAAGCGUUAAUCGGAAUUACUGGGCGUAAAGCGCACGCAGGCGGUCUGUCAAGUCGGAUGUGAAAUCCCCGGGCUCAACCUGGGAACUGCAUUCGAAACUGGCAGGCUG
RNAcentral lists this ribosomal RNA (595 nucleotides) under Klebsiella oxytoca. RNAcentral describes it as "bacterial SSU rRNA". It matches the Rfam family "Bacterial small subunit ribosomal RNA", at positions 56 to 643 of the family's 1533-position model. Lineage: Bacteria; Pseudomonadati; Pseudomonadota; Gammaproteobacteria; Enterobacterales; Enterobacteriaceae. The record is from RNAcentral.